GCCAUGGGGAGUGAUUUAUUGAUGUUUAUCGGGAAUGAAUAGAUCAAAGGCAGGCCAGAUGACAGGCAAUCAAUCAGCCAUCAAAUCGGAGAUGGCAAUUGCCCAUUAAACCCUCUUCCAAUCCACAUACUCUCAUUGUCGACUACAAAAUCAUCUUUAGCUAAAGUCUUCGCAGACUGAAAAAAACAACCCAGAAACGGGGCGAAAGUUGACAUUUUGUGAUCAAAUGGUUUCGCACAAAGGCCCCAAAGUGCACAAAACAACUGCGAAGGCGAGCAUCAAAAGGAUUCAUGACAGUCAGCUGACAUAAGAACCCUUUUUUUCUCCGCUUCUUCAUAGAUCUCUAAUUCAUCCAAGUGAGUCUGUGAACCGAAGGAAAAACGUGGGGGAGGGAUGGAGGUGCCACUACAAGGGAAAUAUCAAAACUUCCAAGUUAACUUUACAGGGAUAUGCUAACAGUUCCCCCAGAAGCCUUUGUCGUUCGUAAAAGCCAGACCAGAAGCGAAACGUAUUUCAUCUAGUAGUGAACUUCGGGGACAGAAAAGUUCACACAAAAAAACCCGCAACGUCUCCUAGUAAUAACGGCUCCAGAAGAUUCCCAAGGACCCUUGUAUCUGUCCUGUUACAGGAGAGAGAGGGGAAAAAAAACUUCCGUGGAGCAAUCAUCCCUAUUAGGUAUUUAAAGACAGGAACAGCAAAUCAGAGGCGACUUCCUUGCUCCAGAUGCCGUCUUCGCUUAAAAAGAGUCAGGCAGAAAUUCAGUAACAAACAAUUUCCUUGUUUUUCUGAGCACAGAAGGGAAAAAGACCGCUCUCACUUUUUACGGUAAGAUCAAAAUUCGCCAAAUAUCCCCAUCGUUCAAGAUCUGGGAUCAUUCCAAAUACAUUACAGUUGCACAGAUGCAGCCUCUUUGCAUCUUACAUAGGCGGGUUUUUCUUUAAUGUAUGUUCUUUUUUUAUUUUUAUUUUUCAAGUUAAGGAAAAUCGAAAUACUUUUCAAAAGGAAAAAAAAAAGGUGGAUAAGUUGUCCGUAUUUUUCAGAUCGUCUUUAGGAUAAAAACGCAACGGUCCAUUCCCUGGGGGGAAGGCUACUGUCUGUGAGGGAAAAAAAAAAUGACGAAUAAUUUCUUGCAAACAAGAAAAUGGUGAGUUGUCAAAUUCUGCUUCUCCUGCCAAAUGUGUUCAAUUCCAUGCCGUUGACAUUUCGCUGGUCUCUUCUCACACUAUAACAGUCACAGUUAUCUGAUCACAGAAGGAACGAUCAAACCAAGGUAGGAAAGAGAGCCUUUGGAAACGAGCAGAAUAUCCGAUCCCUGUGCUACUGCCGGCCAGGCUUGUGUUGGGAAGAGAAAGAACUGACUUUCACUGAUUCGGGAUGUUUUUAGCCCAAUCUCUCUCCGUGUGCCGCUAUAGCAUUGCAUGCCGUUAGAUCCGCCCAAACAUCUGUCCGUCUAACCAUUGGCGCAUCCAUCAGUGUCACAGUGGCUGCACAUCGCAACGACAAUGCCUCAGACAUAACAGAGGCUGCGAGGCUCAAUACGAAUAGCUACAACACUGUAACUUCGCCGAAAACACGGUAGACAUAACAGUGACUGGGUCUUUGAUCUUAAAAUACACGGCGUUUUCAUUUUCGAUCGCUGUAAACUAACUGCGUCAGACAUAGGGGAGAUCUGUGCAAUCACUGGUCUUUUUUUGCGUCGUUUAAAAAGACGGAAAUGUAGCGCUAGGUAAAUGCGAUCUGCUGUAUGAAACUAUUGAAGAAAAUAUUUUGAAAAGACUUUUGAGAAAACUACUACUAACAAGUUUCUGCGGACAAAGCAAAACUGUCGGAAUGCUAGUUUGUUUUAAUGUUUUGUAAAUAAUUAUCGGUCUGAAGAAGAAACUUAAAAUAUCAGUUGUGUUACAGUGUGUCGUAAUGGAGUCCAUAAGGAGAAAAGUUACAUGAAACGAGAUGAACGCUACAAUAUUACUUUCUGCGAAGGCGUUGGAUGUUAAUUAUAACAUGAACAGCGAAUCAGUUGCUCCUUUAGUUUUCAGGUUUUGUUGGGUUACGUUGCGCUCUAGAACAGCAUCAGACCCGAUGUAGACCAUUCCCUUAUUGUCUAAUAUCUAGGGCAGCCACACAGCCUGAAUCCUAUAGUUAAAAAAGAAACACGAAAACAAAAGGAAUUAUAUCGUUCUUAAAAUGCAUCCUAAAUACGCGAGCAACAGUUUGUUUCACUUGCCCUGUAAACGUCUUAAAGACAAUCGCACCGUGAAAAACGAUAUGCACGAGAGUGUGGUCAAUUAAGCCGUUAAAAACGAUUUUUUUCCAACUGUACAUGGAUUCAAAAAGUACACUUCCGUAGGUCAAUUUGUUACGAUUUAAAAGUCGAGAUCUUUUGAACUUAGCCUAGGUAAAAACAGUACUGUACACAUAACAAAUGUCUAUUAGGAUCCUGAUUUUUUACUAAAUCUGAUGGCAUACGUACGUUGUUAUGAUCUUUAUAAUGAGUAUUAUAAUAGAUUUUUUUUUUAAUCAGAAGGGAAUAGAAGAUGUCCUAAGUUGUUCAGUCCGACUUUUUACCAGUCCAUUACAAAUCUAUUUACUACACCCUACACAGCACUUUGUGUAAGAGCGUGUUCUUUCACAGCGGGGCCUGUAUCAGUCUCACGUGAUCUCCUAAGGCAGAGAGAUAGCCUACUUAAUGACAACGUGAUGAAAAAGUGGUUAAUUGUUUAAAACCAGCUGUAUUCUGUAAAGUUGUGUUACAGGGUGUAUUAAGAAACUCGUGCCGGAAGACAACUUGCUUAAUGUAUGUAUUUAGGCGAUAUAUUUUAACUAUGAUCUGUAUAAUAAAGAACGAUUCAAUAAACUGAACUUUUGAAAACA
Non-coding RNA from Lepisosteus oculatus (spotted gar), 2871 nucleotides. Lineage: Eukaryota; Metazoa; Chordata; Actinopteri; Semionotiformes; Lepisosteidae. The record is from RefSeq and is a predicted model, not a curated record.